UGGCUCUCGCAUCGAUGAAGAACGCAGCGAAAUGCGAUAAGUAAUGUGAAUUGCAGAAUUCAGUGAAUCAUCGAAUCUUUGAACGCACCUUGCGCCCUCUGGUAUUCCGGAGGGCAUGCCUGUUUGAGUGUCAUGUAAACCUCAACCCCCCUGGUUUUGUAACGAAGCCGGGUGGGCGUUGGACUUGGGCGUCUGCCAGUUGGCUCGCCUUGAAUACCUUAGUGGGUUCCGACCGAAACCCCGACGGCGUGAUAAGUUUUCGCCCGAAGGAUCCCGGACUGCCCGCUGCCAACCCCAGACCUGCUUGUCAGGUCGACCCCCCCUCAUGAUCUGACCUCAAAUCAGGUAGGACUACCCGCUGA
Molecule: unclassified non-coding RNA, 362 nt
Filed under: uncultured fungus
Lineage: Eukaryota; Fungi
Description: partial contains 5.8S ribosomal RNA and internal transcribed spacer 2
Rfam family: 5.8S ribosomal RNA (bases 1-133)
Source: RNAcentral